CUGCUCAGAAGCCUCGUCCAUCAAGAAAUCGGUCUGUCGAGAAACCAAGCACUACACUUGGAGGGUUGGAGAACUCAGGUUUAUUAAGUCGGCGGCCUCAGACAAGCUAACACUCCAAAAUUCUGGACCCCAAACUCAGGAACUGAAACCAUCUUCCCCAUCUAACAGAAGAUGCCAACUGCUGGAUGAAGCAUUCUUCACUCCAGACAAGGCCACAGUUUGAUAACCUCCAGGAGCUCAUCGGAGACCACCUGCGGCCAGACUAAAGGAGUGCAGGCCCUGCACACACACUGACCCUUAUCAGCAACCCCACCCUUGAACCAUCACUACAAAACUCCUCACCAAAUCCCCCUGGGUCGGGACACACAGUUCUGAGGGCAGGAGCCCGUUGUGUCCCCCUUUGCCUGACAAAGCAAUAAAGCUGUUCUUUCCUGCU
Long non-coding RNA from Hippopotamus amphibius kiboko, 436 nucleotides. RefSeq lists it as uncharacterized. NCBI's taxonomy places the organism in Eukaryota, Metazoa, Chordata, Mammalia, Artiodactyla, Hippopotamidae. The transcript has 3 exons. The record is from RefSeq and is a predicted model, not a curated record.